RNAcentral lists this ribosomal RNA (1365 nucleotides) under uncultured beta proteobacterium. RNAcentral describes it as "16S ribosomal RNA". It matches the Rfam family "Bacterial small subunit ribosomal RNA", at positions 30 to 1394 of the family's 1533-position model. Lineage: Bacteria; Pseudomonadati; Pseudomonadota; Betaproteobacteria. The record is from RNAcentral.
UGAACGCUGGCGGCAUGCCUUACACAUGCAAGUCGAACGGCAGCACGGGUGCUUGCACCUGGUGGCGAGUGGCGAACGGGUGAGUAAUACAUCGGAACAUGUCCUGUAGUGGGGGAUAGCCCGGCGAAAGCCGGAUUAAUACCGCAUACGAUCUACGGAUGAAAGCGGGGGACCUUCGGGCCUCGCGCUAUAGGGUUGGCCGAUGGCUGAUUAGCUAGUUGGUGGGGUAAAGGCCUACCAAGGCGACGAUCAGUAGCUGGUCUGAGAGGACGACCAGCCACACUGGGACGGAGACACGGCCCAGACUCCUACGGGAGGCAGCAGUGGGGAAUUUUGGACAAUGGGCGAAAGCCUGAUCCAGCAAUGCCGCGUGUGUGAAGAAGGCCUUCGGGUUGUAAAGCACUUUUGUCCGGAAAGAAAUCCUUGGCUCUAAUACAGUCGGGGGAUGACGGUACCGGAAGAAUAAGCACCGGCUAACUACGUGCCAGCAGCCGCGGUAAUACGUAGGGUGCGAGCGUUAAUCGGAAUUACUGGGCGUAAAGCGUGCGCAGGCGGUUUGCUAAGACCGAUGUGAAAUCCCCGGGCUCAACCUGGGAACUGCAUUGGUGACUGGCAGGCUAGAGUAUGGCAGAGGGGGGUAGAAUUCCACGUGUAGCAGUGAAAUGCGUAGAGAUGUGGAGGAAUACCGAUGGCGAAGGCAGCCCCCUGGGCCAAUACUGACGCUCAUGCACGAAAGCGUGGGGAGCAAACAGGAUUAGAUACCCUGGUGGUCCACGCCCUAAACGAUGUCAACUAGUUGUUGGGGAUUCAUUUCCUUAGUAACGUAGCUAACGCGUGAAGUUGACCGCCUGGGGAGUACGGUCGCAAGAUUAAAACUCAAAGGAAUUGACGGGGACCCGCACAAGCGGUGGAUGAUGUGGAUUAAUUCGAUGCAACGCGAAAAACCUUACCUACCCUUGACAUGGUCGGAAUCCUGCUGAGAGGCGGGAGUGCUCGAAAGAGAACCGGCGCACAGGUGCUGCAUGGCUGUCGUCAGCUCGUGUCGUGAGAUGUUGGGUUAAGUCCCGCAACGAGCGCAACCCUUGUCCUUAGUUGCUACGCAAGAGCACUCUAAGGAGACUGCCGGUGACAAACCGGAGGAAGGUGGGGAUGACGUCAAGUCCUCAUGGCCCUUAUGGGUAGGGCUUCACACGUCAUACAAUGGUCGGAACAGAGGGUUGCCAACCCGCGAGGGGGAGCUAAUCCCAGAAAACCGAUCGUAGUCCGGAUUGCACUCUGCAACUCGAGUGCAUGAAGCUGGAAUCGCUAGUAAUCGCGGAUCAGCAUGCCGCGGUGAAUACGUUCCCGGGUCUUGUACACACCGCC